AUUGAACGCUGGCGGCAUGCCUUACACAUGCAAGUCGAACGGUAACAGGUUAAGCUGACGAGUGGCGAACGGGUGAGUAAUGUAUCGGAACGUGCCCAGUCGUGGGGAUAACUGCUCGAAAGAGCAGCUAAUACCGCAUACGACCUGAGGGUGAAAGCGGGGGAUCGCAAGACCUCGCGCGAUUGGAGCGGCCGAUAUCAGAUUAGGUAGUUGGUGGGGUAAAGGCCUACCAAGCCGACGAUCUGUAGCUGGUCUGAGAGGACGACCAGCCACACUGGGACUGAGACACGGCCCAGACUCCUACGGGAGGCAGCAGUGGGGAAUUUUGGACAAUGGACGCAAGUCUGAUCCAGCCAUGCCGCGUGCGGGAAGAAGGCCUUCGGGUUGUAAACCGCUUUUGUCAGGGAAGAAACGCUCUGGGUUAAUACCUCGGGGUAAUGACGGUACCUGAAGAAUAAGCACCGGCUAACUACGUGCCAGCAGCCGCGGUAA
This 492-nucleotide ribosomal RNA is filed under the name uncultured bacterium. Its description in RNAcentral is "partial 16S ribosomal RNA". It matches the Rfam family "Bacterial small subunit ribosomal RNA", at positions 30 to 523 of the family's 1533-position model. The record is from RNAcentral.